Molecule: ribosomal RNA, 253 nt
Filed under: uncultured bacterium
Lineage: Bacteria
Description: partial 16S ribosomal RNA
Rfam family: Bacterial small subunit ribosomal RNA
Source: RNAcentral
UACGUAGGGGGCUAGCGUUGUCCGGAUUUAUUGGGCGUAAAGAGCGUGUAGGCGGCCAGAUAGGUCUGCUGUGAAAACUCGAGGCUCAACCUCGAGACGUCGAUGGAAACCAUCUGGCUAGAGUCCGGAAGAGGAGAGUGGAAUUCCUGGUGUAGCGGUGAAAUGCGCAGAUAUCAGGAAGAACACCCGUGGCGAAGGCGGCUCUCUGGUACGUGACUGACGCUGAGACGCGAAAGCGUGGGGAGCAAACAGG